This 253-nucleotide ribosomal RNA is filed under the name uncultured bacterium. RNAcentral's name for it is "partial 16S ribosomal RNA". It matches the Rfam family "Bacterial small subunit ribosomal RNA", at positions 524 to 776 of the family's 1533-position model. The record is from RNAcentral.
UACAGAGGGUGCAAGCGUUGUCCGGAAUUAUUGGGCGUAAAGAGCUCGUAGGCGGUUUGUCGCGUCUGCUGUGAAAACCUAAGGCUCAACCUUGGGCUUGCAGUGGGUACGGGCAGACUAGAGUGCGGUAGGGGUGACUGGAAUUCCUGGUGUAGCGGUGGAAUGCGCAGAUAUCAGGAGGAACACCGAUGGCGAAGGCAGGUCACUGGGCCGCAACUGACGCUGAGGAGCGAAAGCAUGGGGAGCGAACAGG